CAGGCCAGCGGGGCUGGAGUAUCACAAAUAGAGGCUACAGCCCAUGUGGAAGUGAGGAUCGCGCUUGCUGAUCCUAAAGCCCAGGUGGGCAUUCCGUCGUGGGGAAGGUAGAGGGGGUUAGGACACUCCUGUGCUCAACCUGUUAAGCAUUCCGGGUCUGAUAUCACCUCUAAUUUUAAAUCCACAUAGGCAAUACUUAUUCAUCCUUUAAUCUUGUGCACAUCCCCUACGAAGGAUAGUUCUGUUGAGUUUUACUUUCCAUAGUUAGAAUUAUCAAAUCAAUAGCACAUAUUGAAUCUGCCCUUUUCAAUGACCUCACCACCUCCCCCUGCUCCCACCCGACACAAGAUCCCAUUAGGCUUUCCUGAGGAUUAAGAAUCAUUUGUCCAAAAUAUAAACUUACUGGUGGGUUAUAAAAUGACUGUGCUGAAAACAGAAUCACUGACCUGUAGACGCCUCGAGGACAGGAGUCCUAACUUUCACAUCUUAACAUCCCCUAAAGCGUUCAGCACAGUUUCUUGCACACACCAGAUGCUCAGCGCUGAGUUAAAUUUAACUUGAGAUAAAUUGAAUUCGCACACAAAUAAACAAGGAGCAGAGAUAGUAUUGAAACCUCCCUGAUGGAUUGUGCUCAGGCUUUCUGCACACACGAAACCAGAGAAGCCUCAAAGCCCAGAGCCAAGGGGGAGAGCACUUCCCCAGGAGAAGACACAUCGCCAGCCCUUGUUCCUGAAGAAAGUCGUUCAGCCACCAGAAGACAGCUCGGAGGAAGGCCCCUCUACGCGAGCUGUUCUCGUCAGCACGCAGACUCCGUUGUUACUACCCUGGAUGACUGCUUUAUGAUGAAACCAAGACCCAAGAGAAAGGAAGUGACCCCAUUUCUGCCCUUGAUCUUGAAUUGGAUGUCAGUUUAUUUGCAGUUGUUAUAAAGAAGCAGUUAGUGAAAAUAAGGCCUGGUGCCUCCCAGAAAUGGAAAGAAGGCAGCAUGGCAGGGACCUGCUGUAUCACUCAUGCGGAGAGUUUAUAGAAGUACCAAUAUUGCGCCCUCUCCUCUUGACAAUUCUGAUUUAGAGGUCUGCGGAGGAAGUCCAAGUCUGCUCUCAUUUCCCCGGGUGAUUCCGAUGCACAGAAGGCUUGGACACGGUUGUUGCGUCCUAUCUCCCUACCCCCCUCGCCACCUCCCACAGUCCCUUCCCCAGCCUUGAGGAGCUGGGCAUCACAGCUCCGCCUCCUUCUGCGCUCAUACUAGGCUGGAGGGGAGGACGGACUGGUGCAGUUCCCAGCAACCCAUUACUCACCACGGCUGAUUCAACUAAUAAAACAGUAGAGUAAAUACGCACAACACUUGCUGUGCACCAGGCACGAGGCUAACUCUUUACCUGUGUUUCAGCUGAUGUGGUCUGAGGAGAAGACCCUUCCCUUGCCUGGAGGCUGUGUAAUAACCUUACCUGCAGAGUGAUGCUUAUCUCCUCAAGACCCACCCCACCACCCUCAUUGCUUCCAGACCCACAACUAGAGGCCGACCCCAGUGGGAUAAGCGCUAAAUCUGACCCAGAUGGACAUAGCAGAUACGUGAAGAGAACAGAAGAAGUUUGCUAAUUUAUAUCAGCAGGGACCAGGAACAUCUGUGUGGGGAAAGAUUCUAAAGAUGUUAGUCCAAGGAGGAUGUAAUAUAAUGUUGAAUUGAGAAAAUCGUAUCGAUGUGGCAUGCCGGGACCUGAGAUCCUGGAUUAAACGCUCAGCUCCAGCAAUAGUCUGUUUGCCUGAAUGACUAAAGCCUGGGCCCAACAACAAACUACAUUCACUAACACUGAGAUGCCAACACCACCCUGGUGCAAUGCAGGAGCGUCAGGAGGAGGGAGUAGAGCGCGUUUUGUGUGGUCCACCUGCCGGCAGCCGCUGGGUCUGGCCUGGGACUUUCUCCCCUGUUCGCAACGUGGACAGAUUUCUCUCCUCACUUGAUCUGCAGUGAACGUGCUGAACUCUCUCCUCUGAUGUUUCUCCCUCCUGUUCUCUCUGCUGUUUGGGUUGUAAGUGUUUAUAAACGUCGACACCUCUAUUUUGGUUGAAAUUCUGGGAGAUAAGGAAAUUGAACAUGUACGUUUUCAAUCUGCCAUCUUGACCAGAUCAGUAUUUUUUUAUAAAUGGGACAUACACAU
Diceros bicornis minor is the source of this 2159-nucleotide long non-coding RNA. RefSeq lists it as uncharacterized. Lineage: Eukaryota; Metazoa; Chordata; Mammalia; Perissodactyla; Rhinocerotidae. The record is from RefSeq and is a predicted model, not a curated record. The transcript has 3 exons.